This 569-nucleotide ribosomal RNA is filed under the name uncultured bacterium. RNAcentral describes it as "bacterial SSU rRNA". It matches the Rfam family "Bacterial small subunit ribosomal RNA", at positions 505 to 1080 of the family's 1533-position model. The record is from RNAcentral.
GUGCCAGCAGCCGCGGUAAUACGGAKGGUGCAAGCGUUAACCGGAAUACUGGGCGUAAAGCGCACGCASGCGGUUUGUUAAGUCAGAUGUGAAAUCCCCGGGCUCAACCUGGGAACUGCAUCUGAUACUGGCAAGCUUGAGUCUCGUGGAGGGGGGUAGAAUUCCAGGUGUAGCGGUGAAAUGCGUAGAGAUCUGGAGGAAUACCGGUGGCGAAGGCGGCCCCCUGGACGAAGACUGACGCUCAGGUGCGAAAGCGUGGGGAGCGAACAGGAUUAGAUACCCUGGUAGUCCACGCUGUAAACGAUGCUAACUCGUUUUUGGGGAUUUAUCUUCAGAGACUAAGCGGAAGUGAUAAGUUASCCACCUGGGGAGUACGAACGCAAGUUUGAAACUCAAAGGAAUUGACGGGGGCCCGCACAAGCGGUGGAUUAUGUGGUUUAAUUCGAUGAUACGCGAGGAACCUUACCAAGGCUUAAAUGGGAAUUGAUCGGUUUAGAAAUAGACCUUCCUUCGGGCAAUUUUCAAGGUGCUGCAUGGUUGUCGUCAGCUCGUGCCGUGAGGUGUUAGGU